Ochotona curzoniae (black-lipped pika) is the source of this 2450-nucleotide long non-coding RNA. RefSeq lists it as uncharacterized. The transcript has 3 exons. The record is from RefSeq and is a predicted model, not a curated record. NCBI's taxonomy places the organism in Eukaryota, Metazoa, Chordata, Mammalia, Lagomorpha, Ochotonidae.
CUUUGGAUCAGUAUAUCACCUCUACUGGGACACUGAGCUGCUGAAAUCAAUGGAUUGGAGCCAACACAGCAGAGAAAACAUCUGGAGGCAGUUCAGAGUCUGCUGUAGGAGACCACAGAUAUUCAGGGUUGUGGGGAGAGCAUGUGCAGCAGGGGCAGCUGCACAUUAGACAUAGAAGGUGGCAGAGUGCUAACGUUAUGGCUGAUGUCUGACAGAUGCAAAGAUGGCCACUCCCAACCGCACGGCUCAGAAAGAAGGAAGUGAACUCCACAGGCCGCUGCCAGUCACUGAGCGGGAGCUAUGCGCCUCUCCCUCACACUUCAAAACAACUCUGUUAGCCUACCAUGCGACAACAUGGGACACGGUCAAAAUAAUCCACAGCCUGACAAAAAUGCUUGGAGAUGCGCUGGGCUCGGCUGCCUAAAUUAAUGGUGUUUAGGGCUUCCUGUCAUCAUCAGAAAAAGGAAGUACAGAAGUGAGUGGGUGAGCAUGAGUAUGUGUGUGUGUACAUACCCUAGCGUGUGAGUUUCUCACUAUGUGUGUGAGUUUCGAUGUGUGCUUCCGGGUGAGAGAGGGGAGGAUGGGUGGAGGUUGACCACAAGAAGGAUGCGUGGCCUGUGUGAGCAACUGGUCAGCCUUGGAAGCAGGUGUGAAGGUUCCAGGGACUGAAUAAUGUUCUCUAUUUCUUCAGGUCUGGGGAUGAUUGUCUUUAUUACCUGGAUGGUUUUACUCCUGUGUUUCUGGACUACCACAUCUGUUUUUAAUUUCCUCUCAAUUACAAUAGCAAUAUAUGUUCAAUGAAGACAAUUUGGAGUAGAAGACAGGGAAAAUAAAACUGGUGCAUAAUUCAUGUCACCUUACAAUAAUCACCAUUAGUCGGGUGUUAUACAGUCCUCCACAUACUGGUAUUGCAACGCUCAGAUGUUACUUUGAGUAUCCCUUCACUGUUGUUUCAUCUUUUAUUUGCAUAUCCUUGUGUGUGCCUAACCCUCAUUGGAUAUUCAGGCUUUGCUGCCUCUCUUGGGCAAUUCUUGAUCUUCCUGCUGGCUGUCAUACAUUGAUUUGCCCACAGUGUCUUUGAGUGGCUUUUCCAAGUCUUCUUUUCAGAGUCUGGUAAUUCUGUAAAGUUGCUUUUUGCUCCUCUCCCGUCCCACCCCCCCCUUCAUGCCCUAAUGGAAAAGCACUUGCUUUUCUUUAAAAAAAAAUCUGUGUGAUAUUGGUUUGGGCAUUUUUAAAAAACAUUCGAUAUCUAGUGAUUUUGAGUGAGAUUGAGCAGUUUUACACUGCCAGCAAGAGGGGAAGCCAAGAGCUUGGUGCUGCUUUUGUUCUAUGAACCUUCUCACACUACCCACCAAAAUGGCCCUACAAGCACAAGAAACUGCUCUCCCUGAGCUGGCAUGGCAGGUGGUGCUUGAAUACAUCCUGAUGGAGGCAGGUAUUUGUAUCGAUGAUCCCAGAUUCUUCGGUCUUUACAUUAUCCGUGAAUUAGAACAAAUACAGUAUAUAACUCCUACAUGUAUACUGCAGCAUCAGCGAGUACAACUUUCCAGUUAAUGUGCGUGAAACUGCUCAAUGGUCCUCCUCCCUGCAGUGAAGCUGCCACUCCAGCAGUGCCCCAUCCACAUACAGCAUCCCAGACCUUCUCACAGACAGAGUGACCGCGGUGGUCUGCACAAACUCAAUCUGAGAUGAAGCGUGCUGGACACAAGGCAGGCCUUGAUAGUGUUACUAUUUGCCUAUCAAUGAGAGAGAUGAGAAGUUCCAACUCAAUUAAGCAGCGUGUACUUCCCAUGCAAAUUUGCUGAGCCAUUUCCUAGCUCCAGGAGUUCACAGAAAUAUACCUUCACAUGCCUUUGCCACAUUUUACAACUUAGAUGGGAAGGAGUUUCCUUGACUCCCCUAGAUGUGUAACUAGACUCCACCCUCCUCUCAUCUGGACAACUAAUGGACCUGUGAUGGAUGAGUAUGAAAUUUGUUGCAAAUACUUGAGAGAUAUAAUGUUCCCCGUGGAGGAAAAAGAUAAUAAAUAUAUUUUUGAGCUGCGGAAAGUAACUAGAGAAAUCCAUGUUACAUGACUUCUCUCUACACCUGCCUAACCUUACAGAGACCUGAGUUAUAAUUAAAGAAUACAGAAAUGGAGUCUGAGGAAUAUCAGUGUAUAUUCUGAUCACACUACUGGGGGAUUUCCAUUUUACAUAGCAGAAUCAGCCUGAAAAAUCUUAUUUAUGAUAGCUUGCUUACGGUGAACAGAAUUCUCAAAGUCUGCCUUUCUGAUUUAUCAAAUUAUCUCCAAAUGUCACAUUCCAAAUGUUCUAUUUCCUUUUGUUACUCCUAAUGACUUUGUACUAGAUGUUUUCUUCUGUCACUCCAAGAAUCUGAAUAUAUUAAUUUGUGUUUAUUUGUUGGACAAAAUCAUUGUAAGAUAGCAAAAAUACUGCAUAAAUAAAAAG